Molecule: ribosomal RNA, 419 nt
Filed under: uncultured bacterium
Lineage: Bacteria
Description: bacterial SSU rRNA
Rfam family: Bacterial small subunit ribosomal RNA
Source: RNAcentral
GGAAUAUUGGUCAAUGGAGGGAACUCUGAACCAGCCAUGCCGCGUGCGGGAAGAAGGCCCUAUGGGUUGUAAACCGCUUUUGACCGGGAGUAAUAAGGGCCGUGCGCGGUCCGAUGAGAGUACCGGUGGAAUAAGCAUCGGCUAACUCCGUGCCAGCAGCCGCGGUAAUACGGAGGAUGCGAGCGUUAUCCGGAUUUAUUGGGUUUAAAGGGUGCGUAGGCGGAGCGUUAAGUCAGCGGUGAAAUGUCCCGGCUCAACCGGGGAGCUGCCGUUGAUACUGGCGCACUAGGGUCCGAGCGGCGCCGGCGGAAUGUGCAAUGUAGCGGUGAAAUGCAUAGAUAUUGCUCAGAACACCGAUCGCGAAGGCAGCUGGCGAGGACGGGACCGACGCUGAGGCACGAAGGCGUGGGGAUCGAACA